UUCGGUCUCGCUGUAUUUCCUAUACAGCCCCCUGCAUUGCCGUCGCCGACUCAAUUUCAUUACGAAUUACUCGCGAUCCAGUCGCCUUCUGUGCGGCGCGGC
Molecule: non-coding RNA, 102 nt
Filed under: Pseudomonas marincola
Lineage: Bacteria; Pseudomonadati; Pseudomonadota; Gammaproteobacteria; Pseudomonadales; Pseudomonadaceae
Description: Pseudomon-Rho
Rfam family: Pseudomon-Rho RNA
Source: RNAcentral